CCAUAAUUCGUCAGCUAAACCUUAUAAAAAAAUUUAAAAAUACUAUAGCCGACGAAUAAACCUUUAAAUAUCGUCGGCUAAAGUUGCUGGUUUUUGAAAAAAAAAACUGCAGAAACUUUCAGCCACCUCCAAUCACCACCAAAAUUUGACAGAAUCUUCUUCUCAACAUUUCGAACAACUUUCUAGAAGAAGUCGAAUCCCAAUUCUAAGCCUAAAUAGGUCAAUUGAAUCAAAAUAUAAAAAUCCCCAAUUUUAAACCCUAAAAACUUCAAAUCUUCGAUUCUCCUCACACACACCGAAUCGAGCUACCAAAUUCUAGGGGAAUGUAGUACUAAUCAAACUCAACAAAUGGUGACCUAAGGAGAAAUUCGAUCGACACCGAAUCCGAACCGGCAGAGUUUUGGAGCUCGAUUUAUCUCUCACGGCGGCGCCACUCGAUGCACCACCUAUCCAUAUAUAAAACUCACCAAAUGGUGACCUAAGGAGAAAUUCGAUCGACACCGAAUCCGAACCGGCAGAGUUUUGGAGCUCGAUUUAUCUCUCACUGCGGCGCCACUCGAUGCACCACCUAUCCAGCAAUGAAGUAGAGACGACGGCGAAGCUUUUGGGACAACUGUGACGGUCUCCAGUGGCUUGACGGCGGAGCUAGGCCGAGAAGAAAAUCUGGCAGGCGAAAUAGACUUCUUACCAUCCACCUUCGGUAAUAUAAAGAACUUUAGCCGACGAAAUUUUUCGUCGGCUAAACUCUUUUGAAAAUUUUGGUUGCCCGCCAAAAAAAUUUUUGGUUGAAAAUUUUGAAAAUUUUCGACUUUAGCCGACGACUUUUCAUAUAUUUUCGUCGGCUAAAGUCCUUUGAAAAUUUUCCUCCUAAAUUUGGUUUACCGCCUGAAAAUUUUUGACCUUAGCCGACCUACUUUUUUAAUAUCUCGUCGGCUAAAGUCUAUAAAUUCACGAAAACGCUCAUAUCUCCCUCUAUAUUACGUAGUUUGGUCAAACCUUCCACACGAAAAACUUUCACGUAGAUGAGACGCAACCGCCUAUAUAAAAAUUUUGAGACAUUUGUCUUCCGAUGAUAGGGCUCCCCAUAGGGAAUAAUAACGGUAAAUAGGGUUGACCGCUACUAUCGGCACCGAGACUUUACCCGAUUUACGUGAUUUUUGAACCAUAGCCGUUUUUCACCAUUCUGAACACAUCUUAUUUCACGAGAUUUUUGAUAAUUUUGCUUCCUAUAUAGAGUUGGUUCACAAAGUUGUAUAACCUACUAAACAAGUUAUACAACAUUAGUAGACACGUUGUGAUUCCGAUGACUAAAAUUCACAAACCAAAAUUCGACGGUCAGAUAUGAUCAUUAUGACGAAAGAUGUCUAUGGUAAAAAAUUCAACUGGAUCCGACAACGUUAAGGACUCGAUCGAAACGGGUAACCCUAAUCCAUCGUCACUUAUC
Molecule: long non-coding RNA, 1444 nt
Filed under: Fragaria vesca (wild strawberry)
Lineage: Eukaryota; Viridiplantae; Streptophyta; Magnoliopsida; Rosales; Rosaceae
Description: long non-coding RNA (FVES_LNC005173)
Source: RNAcentral